UACAGAGGUCCCAAGCGUUGUUCGGAUUCAUUGGGCGUAAAGGGUGCGUAGGCGGCGCGGUAAGUCGGGUGUGAAAUCUCGGAGCUUAACUCCGAAACUGCAUUCGAUACUGCCGUGCUUGAGGACUGGAGAGGAGACUGGAAUUUACGGUGUAGCGGUGAAAUGCGUAGAUAUCUGGAGGAAUACCGGUGGCGAAGGCGGCAUCCUGGACCAACACUGACACUGAGGAGCGAAAGCCAGGGGAGCAAACGGG
This 253-nucleotide ribosomal RNA is filed under the name uncultured bacterium. Its description in RNAcentral is "partial 16S ribosomal RNA". It matches the Rfam family "Bacterial small subunit ribosomal RNA", at positions 524 to 776 of the family's 1533-position model. The record is from RNAcentral.